Balaenoptera ricei (Rice's whale) is the source of this 4685-nucleotide RNA transcript. It is a transcript of the gene named actin binding LIM protein family member 3, with no coding region annotated. The record is from RefSeq and is a predicted model, not a curated record. Lineage: Eukaryota; Metazoa; Chordata; Mammalia; Artiodactyla; Balaenopteridae. The transcript has 22 exons.
CCCGAGAGCCCGCAUCAUGGAUGUCGAGCUCUCCUAUUUCGCUUUGCUCGCCUUGGAAUUCGAGACCCCAGACGAGGACCAGGAUUCAUGAACCGGUCGCAGGGGCCCGGGCAGGGGCCUCUGGCUCCCGACGCUGGCCGAGAGGACUGGCUCUGACCACCCUCUCUGAGUAUUAGAAUGUCAGACUUGCUGCUGAGACUGUGCUGUAAGCUGAGACACUCCAUGCUCAGAGGACCCUGUUUGAAAACUUCUGAUAAGAAAACCAGAAGAUAAACUGAAUGGCUCAAUGUCAAGGUGAUGAGUGAGGUCGGAAGAUCGCAAGAUUUAAAAAGCAUCUGGAGUCUCCGUAUUGAAAGACCCAGUGCAAAGGCAUCACCAUGAACACGAGCAUUCCUUAUCGGCAGAAUCCUUACAAUCCCCGGGGCAGCUCCAAUGUCAUCCAGUGCUAUCGAUGUGGAGACACCUGCAAAGGGGAGGUGGUUCGCGUCCACAAUAACCAUUUCCACAUCAGAUGCUUCACCUGUCAAGUGUGUGGCUGUGGCCUGGCUCAGUCAGGCUUCUUCUUCAAGAACCAGGAGUACAUCUGCACCCAGGACUACCAGCAACUCUACGGCACCCGCUGUGACAGCUGCCGGGACUUUAUCACGGGCGAGGUCAUCUCUGCUCUGGGCCGCACCUACCACCCCAAGUGCUUCGUGUGCAGCUUGUGCAGGAAGCCUUUCCCCAUUGGAGACAAGGUGACCUUCAGCGGGAAGGAAUGUUUGUGUCAGACAUGCUCCCAGUCCAUGACGAGCAGUAAGCCCAUCAAGAUCCGUGGACCAAGCCACUGCGCUGGGUGCAAGGAGGAGAUCAAGCAUGGCCAGUCACUCCUGGCUCUGGACAAGCAGUGGCACGUCAGCUGCUUCAAAUGCCAGACCUGCAGCAUCAUCCUCACCGGGGAGUACAUCAGCAAGGAUGGCGUUCCAUACUGCGAGUCUGACUACCACUCCCAGUUUGGCAUUAAGUGCGAGACUUGUGACCGAUACAUCAGCGGCAGGGUCUUGGAGGCAGGAGGGAAGCACUACCACCCAACCUGUGCCAGAUGUGUACGCUGCCACCAGAUGUUCACCGAAGGAGAGGAGAUGUACCUCACAGGCUCUGAGGUUUGGCACCCCAUCUGCAAACAGGCAGCCCGGGCAGAGAAGAAGUUAAAGCAUAGGCGGACGUCUGAAACUUCCAUCUCACCCCCUGGAUCUAGCAUCGGGUCACCCAACCGAGUCAUCUGCGACAUCUAUGAGAACCUGGACCUCCGGCAGAGACGGGCCUCCAGCCCGGGAUACAUCGACUCCCCCACCUACGGCCGGCAGGGCAUGUCCCCCACCUUCUCCCGCUCACCUCAUCACUAUUACCGCUCCGCUGGAGAAAGUAACAUCUACCGGAAACCCCCGAUCUACAAACGGCAUGGUGAUUUGUCGACAGCAACCAAGAGCAAAACAAGUGAAGACAUCAGCCAGGCCUCCAAGUACAGCCCAGCCUACUCGCCAGACCCCUACUAUGCUGCGGAGUCUGAGUACUGGACCUACCACGGGUCCCCCAAAGUGCCCCGAGCCAGAAGGUUCUCGUCUGGAGGAGAGGAGGACGAUUUUGACCGCAGCAUGCACAAGCUCCAGAGUGGAAUUGGCCGACUAAUUCUGAAGGAAGAGAUGAAGGCCCGGUCCAGUUCCUACGCAGAUCCCUGGACCCCACCCCGGAGCUCCACCAGCAGCCGAGAGGCCCUGCACACAGCUGGCUAUGAUAUGUCCCUAAAUGGCUCCCCUCGGUCCCACUACCUGGCUGACAGCGACCCCCUCAUCUCCAAAUCUGCCUCCCUGCCUGCCUACAGAAGAAACGGGCUGCACAGGACACCCAGCGCAGACCUAUUCCAUUACGACAGCAUGAACGCUGUCAACUGGGGCAUGCGAGAGUACAAGGUAAAGCUACACAGACCCUGGGGGUCUCCAGGACCCUGCAUGUUGCUACACUGGGGACCAGCAGGAAGAUGACAGCACUGUCUAUGCCGGGAAGGGAACAUCGAUAAAUAACCCCAAGGGUCCUCUCAAGACUAGCAUUUCCAGUCCCUCCUUGGCCCAGUUUCCCUGAAUCCUGCCCUACAUCUCUUGCCUCCUGAAACCAGACAGUUCCCCCGGGCCUCGGAGACUCUCUAGAGGCUUGCCAAUCACAGAUAUGAGACAUUUACACUCAGGAGCCCUUGUGCUCACAUUAAGGCCAAAUGCAACCAAGCGCAUCCCUGGCAGUAUUCAAGGACUCCAGGGCCUUGCCUUUUGGGAGAAGGUGCCUUGAGGCUGCCAGGAAACCCCAAAGAGGACAUACUCAGCCCUUCCUCCAGACUUUAAUCUCUGGCUCUUUAUGGACAGAGGAGGGAGCCCCAGCCAGACACAAAAUAUGUCUGAAGGGACAAGCCCACCACCCUGACCCAACCUACAAAUAUCCCCCCUCCUCUCUUCUUAGAUCUACCCUUAUGAACUGCUCCUGGUGACCACAAGAGGCAGAAACCGACUGCCCAAGGAUGUGGAUCGGACGCGUUUAGAGCGCCACCUGUCCCAGGAAGAGUUCUACCAAGUCUUCGGCAUGACCAUCUCCGAAUUUGACCGGCUGGCCCUCUGGAAGAGGAAUGAACUGAAGAAGCAAGCCCGGCUGUUCUAGGCAGAAGCUCUAUAAAUAUAUAUGCAUUUAUAUAAAGAUAUAUGUAAAAUCUCUAUACUGAAGCUCGGUAUAAUCCUCUCUUGUGUAAUGGGACACACUGCCUGCCAUGAGACUUGCUUUUCUGUAUCGUCAGGCAAGCCCACAUCUUCAAGAUAUUUUUAUGCUCCUUCCUUUCUCUUUUCUAAGUGCAAUGGGAUUUGGGAAGGGAUUCGUGGGGACUCCCAUCCUUUUACUGGGAAGCCUUUUUAUACUGAAACAUCUCUCCUGACUUGAGUCCCCUAAGGUCCAACUCUCUUUGCUAAAGGAGGUGCCUGAAGGAGUCUCUCUUCUCUCUGCUUCUCGGCUCUUUUCCCCAGUCUCCAGGGAGGAUGCUGCAGUUUUCACACCUUAUUGGCCCCAGAGGGGCCCUCUCAUGGGAGGAUCCACAGCAUUCUCCCCAAGUCACUGAGCACCUUUGAGAGCCCUGAAGAAUUUUCUCAUCACCCCCACUAGGACCUCAAUGCUGUCUGGGGGUGAUGCAGCUAGAAAUGUGGGUUUCAUGUCUACUCGUUACAGAAGUAAACAAGUGGAUAGGGCCUUGGCCUCUCCUCUCCUCUUCAAUCCUCCUUCUCUCCUUGAUCCUCACCUCUCUCUAGUCCAAAUCUACGCCUCAUGGUAGGAAAAGAAAAAGCACUUCCCUUCCCUGCACUAUUACUUCCAAUGGCCCCCUGCCUGGCCCCUAUGUGGAGAACCAGAGGGAGGGAGCAGGAGCUGGAAGCAGGAGACAGAGCAGGGCACCCGUUAGCAUUGGAGCUGCAGGACCUCUUGGGACCCUCCCUCAUUGCUCCCAGAACCUCCUGACCCUUCCCCCUUUGGAGGAGAGGCCCAUUAUUGCAGCCUGUAUUUUUCAGCCUUACUACAAUCUAUGUGCCUGACAACUCACCACAGGGCUAAUGUUCCCACCACAGCUCCAACCGAACAACUAGACAGACAACCUCUAACACCCCUGCCAAAGGUAAUAUAGGCCAUGUCCUAUAGAAAGUUUCCUGGCCUAUGUCUUCUGGUCCCUGGGCUGGCAGAGCAACCCAACCAGACCCCCACCAGUCCUCAGCUUGCAUUGCAAAGUUGGCCAUGGUUCAUGGGGGAAACUUUUGAAGAAUGACUACUUAUGAGAUUCCAAAAUGGAGCAUUGGCCAACACCACUCAUGGUCAUACUGAUUUCCCCAGUGGCUGCCUUUCCUGCCUCCUUGGCUUCUGGAACAGGGGUGAAAGCUUAACCUUCUCCCCACCCCAAACCUGCAACCACGAGUUGGUGAUGUCUGGUGGGGUCUGUUCCUUCCUGGAGAUGGCUGGAGUCAGACCACUGAGGUCGUGGAGGAAGGAUGAAGAAGUGGAGAUGACAGUUACCACUCUCAAGUGGUUAUGUGUGGUGGCAAAUGUAGAACUGACUUCAACUCAACAAACCCUCACUGAGCACCUGCUGUAUACUGAGCACCUGCUGUAUACUGAGCACUAAAUGGGGGAGGGAGAUGGAAAUACUGGGAUGAGCAACAUGGGGCCCGACCUCAGGGGCAUGCCUACUAACAAUGGGUACCGUAAGGCAGGUACCCAAACAUGAUGGAUGUGAGGCAGAAAGUGAUAGGAGACAGCAUGAGAAAAUGUGACAUUACUAAGAAGGCAUAUGCAGCUGGUGCAGACCAAGGAAAGCUUUCUGGAAGAGACUGCAUUUGAGCGAAGUUCAGGAAGGAUCUUUGUAAACUGGGAGGAGACUGUAACUUGAAAGGGUGAUAGGAUGAGGGGCCGUAAGGGAGGUCUAAUAUGCUCUCACUUAAAAUGUCAGCCCUCUCUGCGUCUUUUCUUUUUGGCCAAUGUCUUUCAACUGUCCUGACCCCUUUGGAAAUGUCCCCAGCCAGACACAAUCAUUGAAACUGCCUCAUUAUCACUGGUUGAGAACUUGGCGAGAUUGAAGGGCUUUUGUUAUUGUUGGAUAUUUUUUUCCCAUAAAUGCACAUAAUUUCAACCCA